RNAcentral lists this ribosomal RNA (228 nucleotides) under uncultured bacterium. RNAcentral's name for it is "partial 16S ribosomal RNA". It matches the Rfam family "Bacterial small subunit ribosomal RNA", at positions 568 to 796 of the family's 1533-position model. The record is from RNAcentral.
UGCGCAGGCGGCUUGUAAGUCAGUGGUGAAAUACUGCCGCUCAACGGUAGAACUGCCAUUGAUACUGCAAGUCUUGAAUAUGGUUGAGGUAGGCGGAAUGUGUCGUGUAGCGGUGAAAUGCAUAGAUAUGACACAGAACGCCAAUUGCGAAGGCAGCUUACUAAGCCAUUAUUGACGCUGAGGCACGAAAGCGUGGGGAGCGAACAGGAUUAGAUACCCUGGUAGUCC